GAUGAAGAACGCAGCGAAAUGCGAUACUUGGUGUGAAUUGCAGAAUCCCGUGAACCAUCGAGUCUUUGAACGCAAGUUGCGCCCGAAGCCAUUAGGCCGAGGGCACGCCUGCCUGGGCGUCACACGUCGUUGCCCCCCCAUCUACUCCUUCGGGAUUGCGGGGGGCGGAUGAUGGCCUCCCGUGCGCCUCGUCGCGCGGUUGGCCUAAAUGCCAAGUCCUCGGCGACGCACGCCACGACAAUCGGUGGUUGCGAAACCUCGGUUGCCUGUCGUGUGCGGUCGUCGCGCAUCGAGGGCUCGAAAAAAUUGCCGGGCUUCGGCUCGACUUUCAACGCGACCCCAGGUCAGGCGGGGUUACCCGCUGAAUUUAAGCAUAUCAAUAAGCGGAGA
This 390-nucleotide unclassified non-coding RNA is filed under the name soil metagenome. Its description in RNAcentral is "partial contains 5.8S ribosomal RNA, internal transcribed spacer 2, and large subunit ribosomal RNA". The stretch from base 1 to 122 matches the Rfam family "5.8S ribosomal RNA", at positions 35 to 154 of the family's 154-position model. The record is from RNAcentral.